Molecule: ribosomal RNA, 700 nt
Filed under: uncultured bacterium
Lineage: Bacteria
Description: bacterial SSU rRNA
Rfam family: Bacterial small subunit ribosomal RNA
Source: RNAcentral
UGCCUAAUACAUGCAAGUAGAACGCUGAAGGAGGAGCUUGCUCUUCUGGAUGAGUUGCGAACGGGUGAGUAACGCGUAGGUAACCUGCCUGGUAGCGGGGGAUAACUAUUGGAAACGAUAGCUAAUACCGCAUAAGAGUAGAUGUUGCAUGACAUUUGCUUAAAAGGUGCAAUUGCAUCACUACCAGAUGGACCUGCGUUGUAUUAGCUAGUUGGUGGGGUAACGGCUCACCAAGGCGACGAUACAUAGCCGACCUGAGAGGGUGAUCGGCCACACUGGGACUGAGACACGGCCCAGACUCCCACGGGAGGCAGCAGUAGGGAAUCUUCGGCAAUGGACGGAAGUCUGACCGAGCAACGCCGCGUGAGUGAAGAAGGUUUUCGGAUCGUAAAGCUCUGUUGUAAGAGAAGAACGAGUGUGAGAGUGGAAAGUUCACACUGUGACGGUAUCUUACCAGAAAGGGACGGCUAACUACGUGCCAGCAGCCGCGGUAAUACGUAGGUCCCGAGCGUUGUCCGGAUUUAUUGGGCGUAAAGCGAGCGCAGGCGGUUAGAUAAGUCUGAAGUUAAAGGCUGUGGCUUAACCAUAGUAUGCUUUGGAAACUGUUUAACUUGAGUGCAAGAGGGGAGAGUGGAAUUCCAUGUGUAGCGGUGAAAUGCGUAGAUAUAUGGAGGAACACCGGUGGCGAAAGCGGCUCUCU